AACGCAAGUUGCGCCCGAGGCCACUCGGCCGAGGGCACGCCUGCCUGGGCGUCACGCCAAAACACGCUCCCACACCCCUCAUUGGGAAUCGGGAUGCGGCAUCUGGUCCCUCGUCUCGCAAGGGGCGGUGGACCGAAGUUCGGGCUGCCGGCGUACCGUGUCAAACACAGCGCGUGGUGGGCGUCUUUGCUUUAUCAACGCAGUGCAUACGACGCGUAGCCGGCAUGAUGGCCUCAAAACGACCCAACAAACGUAGCGCACGUCGCUUCGACCGCGACCCCAGGUCAGGCGGGACUACCCGCUGAGUUUAA
Molecule: unclassified non-coding RNA, 311 nt
Filed under: uncultured fungus
Lineage: Eukaryota; Fungi
Description: partial contains 5.8S ribosomal RNA, internal transcribed spacer 2, and large subunit ribosomal RNA
Source: RNAcentral